Unclassified non-coding RNA from Pongo abelii (Sumatran orangutan), 148 nucleotides. It matches the Rfam family "Metazoan signal recognition particle RNA". From Rfam's summary of the family: The signal recognition particle (SRP) is a universally conserved ribonucleoprotein. It is involved in the co-translational targeting of proteins to membranes. The record is from Ensembl. NCBI's taxonomy places the organism in Eukaryota, Metazoa, Chordata, Mammalia, Primates, Hominidae.
GCUGGGCGUGGUGGCCUGUGCCUGUAAUCCCAGCUACUAAGGAGGCUGAGGUAGGAGAAUCACUUGAAUCCGGGAGGCGGAGGUUGCAGUGAGCUGAGAUUGUGCCACUGCACUCCAGCCUGGGUGACAGAGUGAGACUCUGUCUCAA